Molecule: ribosomal RNA, 255 nt
Filed under: uncultured bacterium
Lineage: Bacteria
Description: partial 16S ribosomal RNA
Rfam family: Bacterial small subunit ribosomal RNA
Source: RNAcentral
UACGUAGGCAGCAAGCGUUGUUCGGAGUUACUGGGCGUAAAGGGUGUGUAGGCGGUUCUUUUAAGUUUGGUGUGAAAUCUCCUGGCUCAACUGGGAGGGUGCGCCGGAAACUGGAGUGCUUGAGCGUGGGAGAGGAAAGUGGAAUUCCUGGUGUAGCGGUGAAAUGCGUAGAUAUCAGGAGGAACACCGGUGGUGUAAACGGCUUUCUGGACCAUAACUGACGCUGAGGCACGAAAGCGUGGGGUAGCAAACAGG